This is a small nucleolar RNA of Sorex araneus (European shrew), 111 nucleotides long. RefSeq annotates it as small nucleolar RNA SNORA14. The transcript has a single exon. Lineage: Eukaryota; Metazoa; Chordata; Mammalia; Eulipotyphla; Soricidae. The record is from RefSeq and is a predicted model, not a curated record.
UAGCAUUAUUCUAAUUGUUUCCAUGAUAUGAGUGAAUGCUAGAGGCAUCUCAGGGGAGCCCCAGGGCUGUGUUUCUCCUGUGCUCUGUCUUAUUUCAUCCCUGCGACAUCA